Long non-coding RNA from Sapajus apella (tufted capuchin), 2171 nucleotides. RefSeq lists it as uncharacterized. The record is from RefSeq and is a predicted model, not a curated record. NCBI's taxonomy places the organism in Eukaryota, Metazoa, Chordata, Mammalia, Primates, Cebidae. The transcript has 6 exons.
CCCUGCGCGCUUGCCGUACGCCGCUUCCGGGACGCGCCUGCGGCGACUCCGCUGCAGAAGGUUUGUGCGGCUCCGCGCAGCCUCGCUGACGAAGCGGGGGCGUCUCCGCGGGACGGCAGCGAGCUGCAGCAGCCCCGCACCCUGGCCAGGCUCUUAGUGCAUCUAGGAUCCUGAGCUGCCAGGGGCCUGGCCACUCCUGCCCCGAGCCCUGCCUUGGCUGAGCUGGUCACCGCUGCGUGUCCCGGGCUGCCGGCCUGCCUGUCAUCUGCAGCGCACAGGCCUCUGGAAACCAACCACCUUCUACUUUCUGUCUUAUGAAUUGGACUACUCUAGGUACUUCAGACUCACUCUGUCACCGAGGCUAAGUGAAGUGCAGUGGCGCAAUCUUGGCUGACUACAAGCUCCACCUCCUAUGUUGAAGCAGUUCUUCUUCCUCAGCGUCCGGAGUAGCUGGGACAAAAUUAUCUUUUAAAUGAGCACAAAGUAAAAUUGAUAAGAGUGGACAGUACUUUUAAAAAUACUUGCCUGAUGGUAUAAAAAUGUGAAGUACAUGAACUCUGUGAGCCUUAAAUACCAGAAGAACACUGUGGUUUUGGCCAACAAAUUGGAGGUUGCUCAAGGUGGGUCCUGGGAGCAAAGGCUUCAUGGAACGUUCUCCUUUGUCUAACCGAUUCCUGGUUGUCUCUUGGGCUCCAUGGGGGAGGUCACUCUCCUCUGUUCUGUGAUGUGGCAGCCACUGCUCAGGACUUGAUGUGGUUGUUGAUUUGUUAGUGUCUUUCAGAGGACAGUGCUCUCGGGGACUCUGUCACGUCUCUACUUUCUCCUGGCACCUAGUACAAUGCCUGGCAUGUAGCUGGAGCUCACUGUGUGCACAGAAUGCCCUGGAGCACAGAAGAAAAUUAAGAAAACCAAGAUGUAGUGCUGUCAGCUGUGGCGAAUCCAUUCGGGUCUGCAGCAACCUCAAUUCUUGCCCCUCAGAAGAAAGAAUUUGACUGAAGGCAGGAGAGACUGAGGCAAGUUUUAGGGCAAGAGUGAAAGUUUAUUAAAAACCUUUAGCACAGGAACAUAAGGAAGUAAAGGACACUUGGAAGAGGGCCAAGCAGGUGCCUUGAGAGAUAAGUGUGCUGUGUGACCUUUGACUUGGGGUCUUAUACACUGGGAAGCUUCCAGGGUGCUGCAUCCCUUCCCGUGCCCCCAUUCUUCCCUUGGGGUGGGCUGUCCACAUGCACCCUGUGUUUCUGGAGUUGAACACAUGCUCAUUUGAUGCAUUCUUCUCUUACCAGUAGAACCUUCCCAGAAGGUCACAUACCAGUGAAACGUAGUUGUUUUGCCUCUUAGUGCGCAUGUGUGAGCCCACUUCCCCAGCUCGUGAGAUCUUACUGGGAGACUGCUGCUCACCAGUUUCAGGUGUUUCUACCUAUUGGGAGACUACAUUUCCCUGGUCCCUGCUGCAUCUGAUUAUUGUUUUGGAGAGACAGCUUAACUGCCAGACUCUCACCUGGCAUUGAUCAGGCAAGAGAAUGAAGAAGAGAGGGUAAGAAAAACCUAUAGAUUUAAAAGACACGUAAGAGAGAAAUCAAUCAAAUUCAGUGUAAUCAAAUUCAGCCUGGCAUUCCUGAUGCAGGGAGGUUGGGGGCUUUCCUGCCCUGCUUAUGUCUGGUUUGCUACCUUCUGUAACAGUGCUGCAUAUUUAAAUAUCCACAUCUGCAUGCAAGUACUGCAACAGAACAUGAAACAAUACUUUCUAGAGCCACAGUCAAUGCAAGAGUGAAAAAGUGUAUUCAAAGCCAUCUGCAACAGAAACAUUUGCCCCUUGUCUUUCAGAUACAAUUUCUGUCAAUGUAGUGUCCGACAGAGUGGAGAAAGUUGUAUUCAGUAAGAAACCACUUUAUUUUCCAUUUGAUUUCCCAGAUUUGUGUAAAAGAGACACCAAACAUUCACUGCCAUUCCCAAUGACCUGAUCUCUGAGAUGAAAUUUUCUAAUUUAGUAAAAAUAUAGAGGAGGAAAAUAAACUUUAACAGGAGGAAGGAUAGACAGCCUAACCUAUAGCUCAAGCUAUGAAACACUAGCCAGAUACAACGACAUCGGCAAAAGAUUACAAAGGAUAUUUCUAUGCCUGAUAAAAUGUCUAUUAAUGUUAAUAUUAAAUAUUUUUUAUAAUUUAAAAAUA